Molecule: non-coding RNA, 111 nt
Filed under: uncultured Alphaproteobacteria bacterium
Lineage: Bacteria; Pseudomonadati; Pseudomonadota; Alphaproteobacteria
Description: TPP
Rfam family: TPP riboswitch aptamer (THI element)
About the family: Vitamin B(1) in its active form thiamin pyrophosphate (TPP) is an essential coenzyme that is synthesised by coupling of pyrimidine and thiazole moieties in bacteria. The previously detected thiamin-regulatory element, thi box was extended, resulting in a new, highly conserved RNA secondary structure, the THI element, which is widely distributed in eubacteria and also occurs in some archaea.
Source: RNAcentral
CGAUCACCCAAGGGGGGCUCCGUCAGGGAGCUGAGAUAUCGCCGCGACGCGCGAUGACCCUUUGAACCUGAUCCGGGUCAUUCCGGCGAAGGGAUGGGAUCGCGGCGGCUU